Molecule: non-coding RNA, 1736 nt
Organism: Oryctolagus cuniculus (rabbit)
Lineage: Eukaryota; Metazoa; Chordata; Mammalia; Lagomorpha; Leporidae
Source: RefSeq, a predicted model, not a curated record
UGUCCGCUCCAAGGUAACUGGUCCUGGAGCCUGAGACCAAGGCUGUGGUCAGACCUCCUAGAGAGGCGUCUGCGGGUGCUGUUGGUUCUCAGAGUUUUCCUUCUCCUGCUGCGUGACAAGGAGUGAGGUGGACCUGAGAUGAGACUUGUGCAAACACCUCCUGAACUUCUUUGGCAGAGAAAAAUGUUGAAGUUCAGUGAAAUCUGCAAGAAACAUGUUCAAUCCAGUCUGGUGUGGAGGCAGAAUCAGCGAGCAGUGUGACACCUGGGAAGACGCAGCGCGCUGGCUGACUGUGACGCCAUGAGCAGAAUUGCCUGGAAGCAGCUCUGGAAGUUUGUUCAUGGCUACCUGGGCCUGCUCUUGGUGGAGGGAGCUGUUCAAAUUCAUCCUAAUCCUGGGAACCACAGGCAGUGACCCGGAAAGCCCCACAGGCCUGCGCAGGAACACACUGAGAGUCAGGGCAUCCCUCCCCAUCUCGGCUUCCCGUUAUUGCUGGCCUGUGGACCAGGCUGAUCCUCUGAGCACACCAGUCACUGCGGGUAAUUAAACAGGGGCCAUGCGAGCAUGUCCAUAAAUCAGCCAAGGAGGUGGGGUAUGCUUAGCUGAACCCACAUGCCAACUGCAUCUUUGACCAAAUAAAAAGGCUGUUUUACACUUUUUAAAAAAAUUCUAAAUUACUUUUUACUGUGGAAAAAAAAAAUGCAUGCCAUAAAACCUACCAUCUUUCCCAUUUCUUUCUUCUUUUUUUUUUUUAAGAUUAUUUUUAUUUGAAAGAGUUAUGGAGACAGUGGGAAAGAUAGAGAGAGAGAGAGAGAUCUUCCAUCACCUGGUUCACUCCCCAGAUGGCCACAACAGCUGGAACUGGGCCAGACCAGAGCCAGGAGCUUCAUCUGGACCUCCCAUGUGGGUGGCAGGGACCCAAGCACUUGGGCUGUCUUCUACUGCUUUUCCCAGCCCAUUAGCUGGGAGCUAGAUCAGAAGUGGAGCAGUUGGGAUUCGAACCAGCACCCAUAUGGGAUGCUGACGCUGCAAAUGGUGGUUUAACCCACUACACCACGAUGCUGGCCCUCCUCUUCCCCAUUUCUAAGCAUCCUGACUGUGGUGUUCAGUAGAUUCAUAGUGCGGUGCCGCCAGCCCCUAAGAGCUCUCCAUUUCCACCCGCCCGCUUCGGCCCUCCACAGCCACCACUCUGCUUUCUGUGUUUGUGAACUGGAAUCCUCUAGAUAGCUCAUGGAAGUGCAGUCAUGCGGUAUUUGUCUUCUGGGGACUGGCUUAUUUCAUUUAGCAUAAUGUCUUCCAGGUUCAUGUCCAUGUUGUCACGUGAUGGGUGGUGUUUGUCUGCUAACUGAUGCUUGGGCUGCCCCUGCAUCUGCACUGUUAUGAAGUGUUGCUAUGAACGUGGGUGUGUGAAUACCUCUUUAAGAUCCUGUUUUGGGGGCUGUACUGUGGCAUAGCAGGUUAAGCUACCACCUGCCGUGCUGGCAUCCCACAUGGGUGGCUUCUCUACUUCCGAUUCAGUUCCCUGCUACUGUGCCUGAGAGAGCACCAGAAGAUGUCCAAGUGCUUGGGCCCCUGGAUCCAUGUGGGAGACCUGGAUGGAACUUCAGGCUCCUGGCUUUGGCCUGGUCCAGCCCCACCUGUUGCGACCAUUUCGGGAGUGAACCAGUGGAUGGAAUACCUCUCUCUCUCUCUCUCUCUCUGUCUCUCUCUCUCUCUGUCCUUUCUUUAUCUAUAAC